Molecule: ribosomal RNA, 383 nt
Filed under: uncultured bacterium
Lineage: Bacteria
Description: bacterial SSU rRNA
Rfam family: Bacterial small subunit ribosomal RNA
Source: RNAcentral
AUUGAACGCUGGCGGCAUGCCUUACACAUGCAAGUCGAACGGCAGCACGGGAGCAAUCCUGGUGGCGAGUGGCGAACGGGUGAGUAAUAUAUCGGAACGUGCCCGGUCGUGGGGAUAACGUAGCGAAAGCUACGCUAAUACCGCAUACGAUCUACGGAUGAAAGCGGGGGAUCGCAAGACCUCGCGCGAUUGGAGCGGCCGAUAUCAGAUUAGGUAGUUGGUGAGGGUAAAGGCUCACCAAGCCGACGAUCUGUAGCUGGUCUGAGAGGACGACCAGCCACACUGGGACUGAGACACGGCCCAGACUCCUACGGGAGGCAGCAGUGGGAAUUUUGGACAAUGGGCGCAAGCCUGAUCCAGCAAUGCCGCGUGCAGGAUGAAGG